AGUGCGUGUGCGGGGCGGCUUUUCCCGGGGAUUGGGAAGAGCCCGGCAACGUGCUCGCUCUUGUCCGGGAGGCGCGCUCUUGUCCGAGAGAUGCACUCUCGUCGCCGAGGGGUGGCGGGUCCCCGGCCCGCAGGGUGACGCUGGGCCGCAGCUGGGCCGUCAUGAAGCUCCGCGGGCCCGAACUUCAAGGACCGCUCCUCGCACUGCAGCUGGGGCUUGGACGGAGGAGACCGAACGCAGGCACCACAGUCGGGGGUUUCCACCGAGCCGGAGAGCUCUCCAGACCCCGGCGAUUGGAUGAAGACUUGCAGCCUUGGUUUUCGCCUCCUCGUCGGUGACAGUAUUCGGAGUGACAUCAGUUUGGGGGAUCCAGGGAGCUACAGCCCAGUUGGGGUGAUGUCAGUAAGUGCCUGGACAACAGAAGGGAGCCAUCCUAGCUGAGAAGACAUGUGACAAAAGGCCAGACGCAUGAGAGGAGGCUUCAGAGGAGGUGGGGACCUCAAGGCUUGGGACCAAACUGGAGACCACCACGGCAACAGGUGAGUUUCCUGGAAGAUUGGUGUAUGCUGCACGACGACGGUGACUCCUGCCGGGUGGCACUUGUGAGGGUUCGGUAAAGUUCGUAGGAGCACAGUGGACCAGUUAGCUGUCCCUUUGUGAGUGUUAGUUACCCUUUUCCCUCGGAUUUUCAGUGCAUUUUCACAGCGUAUCCAGCUGGAAACCUCUAGGGGUCUGCGGCGUCUGAAAGUUCUGGGGUCUUUACAGAUGCUGCUUCCAACAAGAAGAGGCCUGCCUGCCUCAGGGUGAGCGAAACAGCCCCAGCGCCGAGGCAGGGGUCUGCUCCAGGCUCUUGACUUUUUACCGUUUUAGUUUUCCUGUUGGGGCCACUCACAAGGGCAUACAGUUCACAGGACGGUGACCUGCACUCCCCCGUGUGUGCUUGUCUUUAGAGGGAGAGGCUGCAGUAAUUGCCUAAAUGAACCCGUUGUAUUGAGAUGGGGUGUGUACUGGGGAAAGCGUACAUGUGGGUAUCUCUGGAAUAAAGAGCUUUCGUGCCCGGGC
This is a long non-coding RNA of Camelus dromedarius (Arabian camel), 1062 nucleotides long. RefSeq lists it as uncharacterized. The transcript is spliced from 4 exons. NCBI's taxonomy places the organism in Eukaryota, Metazoa, Chordata, Mammalia, Artiodactyla, Camelidae. The record is from RefSeq and is a predicted model, not a curated record.